UUGAAGGCAGGUUCCUGAGGACUGGAAAAAGCAGAUGGCACUCCUGUCUUCAAGAAGAGCAAGCAGGAGAGUGUGGAGAACUGCAGACCAGUCAACCUCACCUCAGUGCCUGGAAAUGUGAUGGAGCACAUUAUCUUGGAAACUAUUUCCAAACACGUGAAGGACAAGAAGCUGACAGGAAGUAGUCAGCACAAAUUUACCAAGACAAUAGCAUGCUCAGACAUGUAGGUGUCAAGCUCCUUCUGCUGCUCUUUUUGAAGUCCCCAGUGGAGAUGCUGAGGAGCUGGCUCUUCUGGGCACUGCUGAAGCUACCUUAGGAAGAUUCCCAGGAUGUUCUCAAUGGUUUACUCAGUGCCAGGUGUACUGAACUGUGUGUGAGCCCUCAGCCCGCCAGGAAAGGCGUCAUCCAAGGAGCACAGCAGGAGGCUGACUCCCAGCCCUUUCUGUUUUUAUCUUCUUUCAAAGACAUCUGCUUCUCCGACCUAUUUCAGAACAUGGAAAUUCACAAGAGCACCUUGGGGAUUCAGCCAAUAUUAGAAAAAGAGUUUUGGUGGUGCAGCCCUACCAAAGGAACUGGCAGUGGCAGCUUUGGCCGUCAGCACUGCACACCUGCUGGAGAUAGGGUAGGGAGAAAAAGAACCUCAGCCUAAUGGAAUGCAUGUACCUGCAUGCAUAGACACAUAGGUAUAAGCAAACGCACGUGUUUCUGUAAAUGUGGUGGCACAGGAAGGAUUUGCACAGGUGAUAAUUUUUAAGAUGACAAAAUGAUAUGUAUUUCUUUCUCGGUGUCAUUCUUAGAGUGCUUUGGUUGAGGUUUAAAACAAUAUCCAACAAUCACGAUCAGACAGGCAACACAGUAAAACGGAUUUUGAGUGAUGCAAAUUGGCACAGCUAUUUUGAAUCGCAUGUGAUGCAGACAUAAUAAUUGUUCCUGCCUGCCUGUGUUAAAAUUUCUCUGCUAUACAAAACCUACCAUGAGCUGUAGCUCUCCUUUCUGUUAUGUACUCCUCUGAGCAUGUUUACUACUU
RNAcentral lists this long non-coding RNA (1028 nucleotides) under Gallus gallus (chicken). RNAcentral's name for it is "lncRNA (ENSGALG00010012321.1)". The record is from RNAcentral. Lineage: Eukaryota; Metazoa; Chordata; Aves; Galliformes; Phasianidae.